AUUGAACGCUGGCGGCAUGCCUUACACAUGCAAGUCGAACGGCAGCACGGGAGCAAUCCUGGUGGCGAGUGGCGAACGGGUGAGUAAUGUAUCGGAACGUGCCCAGUCGUGGGGGAUAACGUAGCGAGAGCUACGCUAAUACCGCAUACGAUCUAUGGAUGAAAGCGGGGGAUCGCAAGACCUCGCGCGAUUGGAGCGGCCGAUAUCAGAUUAGGUAGUUGGUGGGGUAAAGGCUUACCAAGCCGACGAUCUGUAACUGGUCUGAGAGGACGACCAGCCACACUGGGACUGGGACACGGCCCAGACUCCUACGGGAUGCAGCAGUGGGGAAUUUUGGACAAUGGGCGCAAGCCUGAUCCAGCAAUGCCGCGUGCAGGAUGAAGGCCUUCGGGUUGUAAACUGCUUUUGUACGGAACGAAACGGCGAGCUCUAAUACAGUUUGCUAAUGACGGUACCGUAAGAAUAAGCACCGGCUAACUACGUGCCAGCCGCCGCCGUAA
RNAcentral lists this ribosomal RNA (500 nucleotides) under uncultured bacterium. RNAcentral describes it as "partial 16S ribosomal RNA". It matches the Rfam family "Bacterial small subunit ribosomal RNA", at positions 30 to 523 of the family's 1533-position model. The record is from RNAcentral.